This 468-nucleotide ribosomal RNA is filed under the name uncultured bacterium. Its description in RNAcentral is "bacterial SSU rRNA". It matches the Rfam family "Bacterial small subunit ribosomal RNA", at positions 28 to 498 of the family's 1533-position model. The record is from RNAcentral.
GAUGAACGCUAGCGGCAGGCUUAACACAUGCAAGUCGAGGGGUAUUGGUUUUCGGACCAAGAGACCGGCGCACGGGUGCGUAACGCGUAUGCAAUCUACCUUUUGCAGAGGGAUAGCCCCAGAGAAAUUUGGAUUAAUACCUCAUAGUAUAGUACUUUGGCAUCAAGGAACUAUUAAAGUCACAACGGCAAAAGAUGAGCAUGCGUCCAUUAGCUAGUUGGUAAGGUAACGGCUUACCAAGGCUACGAUGGGUAGGGGUUCUGAGAGGGAGAUCCCCCACACUGGUACUGAGACACGGACCAGACUCCUACGGGAGGCAGCAGUGAGGAAUAUUGGACAAUGGGCGCAAGCCUGAUCCAGCCAUGCCGCGUGCAGGAUGACGGUCCUAUGGAUUGUAAACUGCUUUAUACAGGAAGAAACACUCCGACGUGUCGGAGCUUGACGGUACUGUAAGAAUAAGGAUCGGCU